CAGCACCUCAAGUGGUCAGGAUGAUUAUUGGGCCUAAAGCAUCCGUAGCCGGCUCUGUAAGUUUUCGGUUAAAUCUGUACGCUCAACGUACAGGCUGCCGGGAAUACUGCAGAGCUAGGGAGUGGGAGAGGUAGACGGUACUCGGUAGGAAGGUGUAAAAUCCUUUGAUCUAUUGAUGACCACCUGUGGCGAAGGCGGUCUACCAGAACACGUCCGACGGUGAGGGAUGAAGGCUGGGGGAGCAAACCGGAUUAGAUACCCGAGUAGUCC
Molecule: ribosomal RNA, 270 nt
Filed under: uncultured archaeon
Lineage: Archaea
Description: partial 16S ribosomal RNA
Rfam family: Archaeal small subunit ribosomal RNA
Source: RNAcentral